Molecule: ribosomal RNA, 254 nt
Filed under: uncultured bacterium
Lineage: Bacteria
Description: partial 16S ribosomal RNA
Rfam family: Bacterial small subunit ribosomal RNA
Source: RNAcentral
UACGGGGGGGGCAAGCGUUGUUCGGAAUUACUGGGCGUAAAGGGCGCGUAGGCGGUCAGCACAAGUCAGUUGUGAAAUCUCCGGGCUUAACUCGGAAAGGUCAACUGAUACUGUGCGACUAGAGUGCGGAAGGGGCAACUGGAAUUCUCGGUGUAGCGGUGAAAUGCGUAGAUAUCGAGAGGAACACCUGCGGCGAAGGCGGGUUGCUGGGCCGACACUGACGCUGAGGAGCGAAAGCGUGGGGAGCGAACAGG